GGGCCUGUGGCUCAGUGGCAGAGCGUCCGCUUAGCAAAUUACUUGCGGGAGGUCCAGGGUUCGAUUCCCUGCUGGUCCA
RNAcentral lists this transfer RNA (79 nucleotides) under Annulohypoxylon moriforme. RNAcentral's name for it is "tRNA-Ala". It matches the Rfam family "tRNA". Rfam says of the family: Transfer RNA (tRNA) molecules are approximately 80 nucleotides in length. Their secondary structure includes four short double-helical elements and three loops (D, anti-codon, and T loops). Further hydrogen bonds mediate the characteristic L-shaped molecular structure. tRNAs have two regions of fundamental functional importance: the anti-codon, which is responsible for specific mRNA codon recognition, and the 3' end, to which the tRNAs corresponding amino acid is attached (by aminoacyl-tRNA synthetases). tRNAs cope with the degeneracy of the genetic code in two manners: having more than one tRNA (with a specific anti-codon) for a particular amino acid; and 'wobble' base-pairing, i.e. permitting non-standard base-pairing at the 3rd anti-codon position. The record is from RNAcentral. Lineage: Eukaryota; Fungi; Ascomycota; Sordariomycetes; Xylariales; Hypoxylaceae.